GCUGGCGGCGUGCUUAAGACAUGCAAGUCGAACGGUAAGGCGAGUCACUCUUCGGAGUGACUUGCACACGAGUGGCGCACGGGUGAGUAACGCGUGGGUAAUCUGCCUUCGGGUUUGGGACAACUCCGGGAAACUGGAGCUAAUACCAAAUAAGACCACGAGGUCCUCGGGCCUUGUGGGAAAAGGUGGCCUCUUCUUGAAAGCUAUCGCCGGUUGAUGAGCCCGCGUCCCAUUAGCUUGUUGGUGAGGUAAAGGCUCACCAAGGCAUCGAUGGGUAGCUGGUCUGAGAGGAUGAUCAGCCACACUGGAACUGAGACACGGUCCAGACUCCUACGGGAGGCAGCAGUCGGGAAUCUUGCACAAUGGGCGAAAGCCUGAUGCAGCAACGCCGCGUGAGGGAUGAAGGCCCUCGGGUCGUAAACCUCUGUCGGAAGGGAAGAAAGUAUUCCGGGCCAAUACCCCGGAGUAUCGACGGUACCUUCAAAGGAAGCGCCGGCUAACUCCGUG
RNAcentral lists this ribosomal RNA (507 nucleotides) under uncultured bacterium. RNAcentral describes it as "bacterial SSU rRNA". It matches the Rfam family "Bacterial small subunit ribosomal RNA", at positions 35 to 507 of the family's 1533-position model. The record is from RNAcentral.